This 607-nucleotide ribosomal RNA is filed under the name uncultured marine eukaryote. RNAcentral describes it as "SSU rRNA". It matches the Rfam family "Eukaryotic small subunit ribosomal RNA", at positions 576 to 1205 of the family's 1831-position model. The record is from RNAcentral.
UCGGUAAUUCCAGCUCCACUAGCGUAUAUUAAAAUUGUUGCAGUUAAAAAGCUCGUAGUUGAACCUCUGGCUGUGUCUAGUUCUGGUUUUCAAUCAAGCUAGAUGCAGUCAUCCAUCUGCAAACCUUCUCGGGCAUUCAGUUGUUCGGUUAGGAGAGUAGAUAUUUUACUGUGAAAAAAUUAGAGUGUUUAAGGCAGACAAUGGUUUGAAUACAUUAGCAUGGAAUAAUAGAACAGGACACUUGUUCAUUUCGUUGGUUAUUGGACUCGUGUAAUGAUUAAUAGGGACAGUUGGGGGCAUUUGUAUUUAAUUGUCAGAGGUGAAAUUCUUGGAUUUAUUAAAGACAAACUUAUGCGAAAGCAUUUGCCAAGGAUGUUUUCAUUAAUCAAGAACGAAAGUUAGGGGAUCAAAGACGAUCAGAUACCGUCCUAGUCUUAACUAUAAACUAUUCCGACUCGGUUUUGGCAUGGCGCAUAUAACCAUGUCAGCGCCGUAUGAGAAAUCAAAGUUACGGUUCCGGGGGGAGUAUGGUCGCAAGACUGAAACUUAAAGGAAUUGACGGAAGGGCACACAAGGUGUGGAGCCUGCGGCUUAAUUUGACUCAACA